CACGGGGGGAGCAAGCGUUGUUCGGAAUCACUGGGCGUAAAGGGCGUGUAGGCGGUCAAGUAAGUGGAAUGUGAAAGCCCCCGGCUCACCCGGGGAUCUGCAUCCCAAACUGCUUGGCUUGAGUACGGGAGAGGAUAGGGGAAUUCCUGGUGUAGCGGUGAAAUGCGUAGAGAUCAUGAGGAAGACCAGUGGCGAAGGCGGGUCUCUGGACAGUUCCUGACACUGAGGCACGAAGGCCAGGGGAGCAAACGGG
Molecule: ribosomal RNA, 253 nt
Filed under: uncultured bacterium
Lineage: Bacteria
Description: partial 16S ribosomal RNA
Rfam family: Bacterial small subunit ribosomal RNA
Source: RNAcentral